CAGCCGCCGCGGGAAUACGAAGGGGGCUAGCGUUGCUCGGAAUUACUGGGCGUAAAGGGCGCGUAGGCGGACAGUUCAGUCGGGGGUGAAAGCCCGGGGCUCAACCUCGGAAUUGCCUUCGAUACUGGCUGUCUUGAGUAUGAGAGAGGUGUGUGGAACUCCGAGUGUAGAGGUGAAAUUCGUAGAUAUUCGGAAGAACACCAGUGGCGAAGGCGACACACUGGCUCAUUACUGACGCUGAGGCGCGAAAGCGUGGGGAGCAAACAGGAUUAGAUACCCGAGUAGUCCCUGUCUCUUAUAC
RNAcentral lists this ribosomal RNA (301 nucleotides) under uncultured bacterium. RNAcentral describes it as "partial 16S ribosomal RNA". It matches the Rfam family "Bacterial small subunit ribosomal RNA", at positions 509 to 807 of the family's 1533-position model. The record is from RNAcentral.